CUAUUUUUGUUCUUGCUUGUAUCAUGGUCACUUUUUUCUCCUCCUCCUCCUCCUCCUCUUCUUCCUCUUCCUCCUCCUCCUCCUCGCCUCCUCUUUUUUUCCUCUUCCUCUUCCUCACCUUGAUGUCUAUUGUCGGGAGCAGCGUGACGGGAGAGGCGGUGUGUGAGUGUGGCCUGUUUCUGAGUGAGAGGGAAGGAGGGCAGGAGAUCAUGACCCUCUCCCCUCCCCUCCCUCUCCCCUCCUGCGCCUCCUACAUCGCCUGCAGGAGGGAUUGCGUUCAGCAGUUUGCGGAGUGGCGUGGUGACAUGGGCCAUCUGUUGCCUGAAGGUGUAACGGUGGGCCAGCUGCUUUGUGGCCACCUGUCCUCCCGUGGCCGCCCUCACCUGCCGCCCCAACAGGUGCACCUCUACCUAAGCGUGUGUGGCGGAACGUGGCAGUACACAGAGGCAAGCUUCCCUGACCCCCUAUGCUGCUCUGCCGGGGCCUUCUCCUCCUGCAGGGGCGGCGGGGCAGGCGGGGCUGGGCGGGGCAGGUUUCUCUCCGCCCCAGCUCUUGUCCUCUCCCGCCCCUCGCACGCCGCUGGUCCCUCCGCCACCGCCUCCGUCAGAGUGUUCAUACCUACCUCCUCCCGUGAUGUCCCUCGUUUUCUUUCCAUGUAGAGAGAGAGAGAGAGAGAGAGAGAGAGAGA
This is a long non-coding RNA of Portunus trituberculatus (swimming crab), 688 nucleotides long. RefSeq lists it as uncharacterized. The record is from RefSeq and is a predicted model, not a curated record. Lineage: Eukaryota; Metazoa; Arthropoda; Malacostraca; Decapoda; Portunidae. The transcript is spliced from 4 exons.